RNAcentral lists this ribosomal RNA (700 nucleotides) under uncultured bacterium. Its description in RNAcentral is "bacterial SSU rRNA". It matches the Rfam family "Bacterial small subunit ribosomal RNA", at positions 42 to 733 of the family's 1533-position model. The record is from RNAcentral.
UCAGGCCUAACACAUGCAAGUCGAGCGGUAGCAGGAAGUGCUUGCACUUCGCUGACGAGCGGCGGACGGGUGCGUAACACGUAGGAAUCUGCCUGGUAGUGGGGGAUAGCCCGGAGAAAUCCGGAUUAAUACCGCAUACGCCCUAAGGGGGAAAGGAGGGGAUCUUCGGACCUUUCGCUAUCAGAUGAGCCUGCGUCGGAUUAGCUUGUUGGUGGGGUAAAGGCCUACCAAGGCGACGAUCCGUAGCUGGUCUGAGAGGAUGAUCAGCCACACUGGGACUGAGACACGGCCCAGACUCCUACGGGAGGCAGCAGUGGGGAAUAUUGCACAAUGGGCGAAAGCCUGAUGCAGCCAUGCCGCGUGUGUGAAGAAGGCCCUAGGGUUGUAAAGCACUUUCAGUGGGGAGGAAAGGUUGAAGGUUAAUACCCUUUGGCUGUGACGUUACCCACAGAAGAAGCACCGGCUAACUCCGUGCCAGCAGCCGCGGUAAUACGGAGGGUGCGAGCGUUAAUCGGAAUUACUGGGCGUAAAGCGUGCGUAGGCGGCCACCUAAGUUGGAUGUGAAAGCCCCGGGCUCAACCUGGGAACUGCAUCCAAAACUGGGUGGCUAGAGUACGGGAGAGGAGUGUGGAAUUUCCUGUGUAGCGGUGAAAUGCGUAGAUAUAGGAAGGAACACCAGUGGCGAAGGCGACACUCUGGC